CGUGGAGACAGGUGGUGCAUGGCUGUCGUCAGCUCGUGUCGUGAGAUGUUGCGUUAAGUCCCGCAACGAGCGCAACCCUCACCCCUAGUUGCCACCGGGUAAAGCCGAGCACUCGAGGGGAACUGCCAGCGUCAAGCUGGAGGAAGGCGGGGAUGACGUCAAGUCAUCAUGCCCCUUACGCCCUGGGCUACACACGUGCUACAAUGGCCAGUACAAAGGGACGCGAGACCGCGAGGUGGAGCUAAUCCCAAAAAACUGGCCUAAGUUCAGAUUGCAGUCUGCAACUCGACUGCAUGAAGGAGGAAUCGCCAGUAAUCGCGCAUCAGCCCGGCGCGGUGAAUACGUUCCCGGGCCUUGUACACACCGCCCGUCACACCACGAAAGCUGUCUGUACUCGAAGUCGCUGAG
RNAcentral lists this ribosomal RNA (408 nucleotides) under uncultured Methylomirabilota bacterium. RNAcentral describes it as "bacterial SSU rRNA". It matches the Rfam family "Bacterial small subunit ribosomal RNA", at positions 1027 to 1434 of the family's 1533-position model. Lineage: Bacteria; Methylomirabilota (SeqCode). The record is from RNAcentral.